RNAcentral lists this ribosomal RNA (460 nucleotides) under uncultured bacterium. RNAcentral's name for it is "partial 16S ribosomal RNA". It matches the Rfam family "Bacterial small subunit ribosomal RNA", at positions 338 to 795 of the family's 1533-position model. The record is from RNAcentral.
CCUACGGGUGGCAGCAGUGAGGAAUAUUGGUCAAUGGACGCAAGUCUGAACCAGCCAUGCAGCGUGCAGGAAGACGGCUCUAUGAGUUGUAAACUGCUUUUGUACGAGGGUAAACUCAGAUACGCGUAUCUUUCUGAAAGUAUCGUACGAAUAAGGAUCGGCUAAUUCCGUGCCAGCAGCCGCGGUAAUACGGAGGAUUCAAGCGUUAUCCGGAUUUAUUGGGUUUAAAGGGUGCGUAGGCGGUCUGUUAAGUUAGAGGUGAAAUCCCGAGGCUCAACUUCGGAAUUGCCUCUGAUACUGGUCGGCUAGAGAGUAGUUGCGGUAGGCGGAAUGUAUGGUGUAGCGGUGAAAUGCUUAGAGAUCAUACAGAACACCGAUUGCGAAGGCAGCUUACCAAGCUACUUCUGACGUUGAGGCACGAAAGCGUGGGGAGCAAACAGGAUUAGAUACCCUAGUAGUC